UCGACGCCUAAAACCUUUGUUUUUCUUCGAUUUUUAUUUAUUUAUUUUGUUUCGUUGAUUUUGAUUGUUUUUAGGGUUGAUUUGUUGUUAUUCCUUUGACUUGAUGUAAAUUUUUUGGGUUUAAUCGAUUGAGCUAUUAACUUAGAUCAUUUAGGGUUAAUUUUUAGGUUUUUGAAGUUAUAUCAGUUGAUUUUAGGGCCAAAUUGUGUCUGGUUAUUUGGAAUUCACACAAGUCGUAUUUGUUUGAUUUUCAUAUAUUCGAAUCACCUGCGAUGAGAUUUUCUUUGACCUGUGCAAUUUGAUGGUUUCAUGUCUGUGAUUUCUCUACUCUUUCUCUCUAUUUUGAUAAUUCAUCUCGUAAUUAUGUUCAUUGUUUUGUUUCUCUUUCUGGGUAUGCGUAAUUUUGUCCCAAUUUCGGAGGGUACAAUUCCAAAUUUGUGGCUAAUUCUUUCAUGGGCCUGUAAUUUGAUACCCAUCUUUAUUAAAUUUUGAUACCCAGAAAAUAAAAAAAUUGGGAAAAGGGUUUUGGAGUAAAUUUUUGUGGAUUAGUGAAGUUAAAUUAAGUGGGUGAUAAUUGAUUCAUUCGUGCUCAUGCCUUGUUUUUGGAAGAUAGGCUGGAAUGGAAUGUUUUCGUGUCUUGAAAUAUGAUGUUGAGACAGAACGUCCUAUAAGCAGUUUUAAUUCUUCUCCUUAUGCAUUUCGGUUUUCCUGGCUGCUUGUGUUGUUAACUUUCAUAACAUGCCAUUAUGCCGCAAUUUAAUUUCAGCUUGAACUUUCCCAUAGCGGCUCGGAUAUCAUCAUAAUAUAAUUAUUGACCUUUGAUCUUCUGUGCAGAGAACAAAGGAUCUUGAUACAAUUGACUUGCUUGAUCAAUUACCAACAUUACAACAACUUCUUUACAGGGUUCUUGGUUGCCAGGAUUUAGUUUUCACACUAGUAGAGAAAACGUCAUUUGCAACUUAUCUAGUUCCCAUGAGCUGCAUUGAAGUGUUUAAACUCUGUGCAUCAAGGAGGCGUGCAGAAUGCAGGGCAGCAAGAUUUUUGGGUUGCUGCAGGGUCUGCAUCUACUGCUAUGAAUGGCCGUAGUAGUCUUGUGUGGGUGUGCGUGAGCUCAUAAUGACUUUCCAGAAGAUCAAUUAUGCUCCUGAGGUUGAUAAAGUCUGCAAAGCUCUUAAGAUCCUUGCUCCUAUGCUCGUAUGUUUGGGUUAACUGGCAGUUUUGCUAUCUGUUUAAGGAGUAAGCACAUGGGGGAUGAUGAUUAUGUUCUUGAGUUCUUCCUCCCUCUAAACUUAAGAGAUAGUUUAGAAUAGCUUAAAUUGUUCCAUUUAUCUCCAGUUGGGUAACAAAUUAUCGACGACCUUGGUGCAUCAAGAAGCCAAGAGUUGUUAGGUGUAACCAUCCUGAGCGCGGAAACUGUAUCAGAGGUUUACUAGAUAACACAAGAUUGAUGUAAUUGGAUGGGUCAGAAGAUGUUGAAGUUUCUGAAGGAACUGUUUCAUCUGGUUUUGUAGAUAUCAGUACCAGAUCACCAUUUCUUUUCGUUGUGAUUGCUUGGUGCUUUUCGGUUAUGCUGUACAAACUUAUGUCAGUCUAGUUUAUCGAUGUGCUGGUGGUUCUCUUUUGCAUUGGUGGUGCGGAGGUGAGCUCAGUCCAUAAGUAGAACAACUAUAGCUAAAUUCACUUUUAAUCUCCCGAAAUAAUUCUCUAUUAUCCUAUACUUUUGCAGUUGAUCAGAGAGGCAUCUCAACCAUAUGUAAUAAAUUAUUGUCAUGUUUAAUUAUAAUAGCUUUUAGAGCCAUGAGUUCAUCAAUUUUACUGGCUCCUAGUUUUUUUACUAUUAUUUUAUGUUGAAUGUUUGUGCAAAAAAGGUUAUGGAGGCUAGUACCUAGUAACAAUGUAUUAUUACUGUAGUGAUUUUUUUUAUAAAUAAAUAUACUAUUUACAGCA
RNA transcript from Spinacia oleracea (spinach), 1947 nucleotides. It is a transcript of the gene named putative clathrin assembly protein At4g25940, with no coding region annotated. Lineage: Eukaryota; Viridiplantae; Streptophyta; Magnoliopsida; Caryophyllales; Amaranthaceae. The transcript is spliced from 6 exons. The record is from RefSeq and is a predicted model, not a curated record.